RNAcentral lists this ribosomal RNA (253 nucleotides) under uncultured bacterium. RNAcentral's name for it is "partial 16S ribosomal RNA". It matches the Rfam family "Bacterial small subunit ribosomal RNA", at positions 524 to 776 of the family's 1533-position model. The record is from RNAcentral.
GACGGAAGGUGCAAGCGUUGCUCGGAAUCACUGGGCGUAAAGCGCACGUAGGCGGACUCUUAAGUCGGUGGUGAAAUCCUGGAGCUCAACUCCAGAACUGCCUUCGAUACUGAGAGUCUCGAGUCCGGGAGAGGUGAGUGGAACUGCGAGUGUAGAGGUGAAAUUCGUAGAUAUUCGCAAGAACACCAGUGGCGAAGGCGGCUCACUGGCCCGGUACUGACGCUGAGGUGCGAAAGCGUGGGGAGCAAACAGG